GGAAGAAAACCGUUUGCUCCGUUUGUCCCUAGCCGAGCUUGCAGUACAGAAUCGACAGGAUGCGUGGCCGGCAAGGCGAAAAAGCCGCGUCCGAGACCCAUCAACUAGCCCAAAUUAAUUUACAUAUCUCAUAAAAGCAAGUGCACUGCAGUUGGAGCUUUGGAAAUAGGCCCGUGUUUAAAACAGACUCGAGUGGUCGACACAUGAAGUGGGCUCAUUCAUGUGGAAAAGUAAUCAGCAACGUUCUCACACCUACACUGUCCUUAUUGGUAUGUAGUGUGACUAAAUUCUGCUUCUGCAUUAGUUGUGUUGAUAGCAUGCUUGUUCCAAAUUCUUAUUUGUUCCUUUUGCUAAUUUUCAUUUUGUUCACAGAACUUUCCAAAAGGGGAACGUAUCCAAUAAAAUAAAGCACUAAUUUACUUUCAUGCUGAAGAUUCAUAACUCUUACAAAUUGAUGUGGUUUCUACCUGGUGAUCUUCACUGCACUAAAGAGUUAUGAGCUAGGUACUAGGGUAUCCCAGCAACAUCAUGAGCAAGCAACACCAUCUUCUCUCAUCUCUUAGAGAAAAAAAAAAUUCCUUAUAACUUUACUUCACUCUGCAAAACGCUUAAAGCAUAAAAAUAUCACUCGUUUUUUUUUUAUUUUUACAUAUUAUAUUACACAAGCGCAUAUUAAACAAUGAACAGUACUCCUCAUUGUCUUCUCCCAUCCAGUCAUCCCUGGCCCAAGACUAUGCAAUUGCCAGGUCAGCAAGCCAAAUUAAAGAAAGUGUACCACACAUGAAAUAGGACGCUGAAAAACUUAGAUAAAUUGUGUUGUAGUUUAACGUAACCCCCCUCCUCCUCCUACAUGACAAAAACUUGUUUGCAUGUCAAGGUAGCAUCAGAAAAUACUAAAUUUCUUUUCUGAUUGAAAUUAAAGCUGGAAAGUAUUCUAUCAAGUGCAGAGGGCACAAGAGCAUUAGCAAAUAGCGUAGCUUUCAAGAUUUUUCACACAGUGCCUAUAGGUUGCCUUGAUGCUGCCUCCAAUCUCCCUUGUACUGAAGCAUGCACACACAUUAUACCUCCAUUGAUACCGAAGUCCCACUCAAAAGUCUCUGGCCACCGCAAAUCAUCCUGCAUGUACCGCUGACAAGGUGUACAUCUUUGGAGAAUUUAUUUCUGAUUCAAACAUCUGAUGGGCCAGAAAACUAUAAAUUUCGAUAUGUCACCAAUAACCAAAACACGAAUUAAUAUUCCUGCUUGCAGGGACACAAACUGAUUGCUGUUACUGAACAGCGCUCCGUGGCAUUCAAGUGAAGAAUGAUCCUGAUCGUCACUUAUAUGAAUAAUCAUUCGGUUGUAUGGCUGGGAUUCCUAGGUCAUGUGAAUUGCAGUGGAGCUGCUUAGUGUAGUGACUGACUUGGGGCUGCUCAAUAUUUUUUUUUUUUUGAUGCCACUCUAAUGUCCGCCAAAUAAAAGAAAAUGUUUCUUUCUACA
Dermacentor albipictus is the source of this 1479-nucleotide non-coding RNA. The record is from RefSeq and is a predicted model, not a curated record. NCBI's taxonomy places the organism in Eukaryota, Metazoa, Arthropoda, Arachnida, Ixodida, Ixodidae.